UCAAAUUCGCGGAUUUUCGCCCGAACUAGCACACAUAUAUGAAUUCAAGCAAUGAGUCUCGUUGGGAAAUUUUAAAAAUGCUACCAUAAAGUGAAGGACUACGUACACCCUUUUUUCUUUAGACCAUCCAGCCCACAAACUUCCCUCCAACAUAAAAGCAUAUGGUAUAUCGUAUUGAAAUAGCAGUUGGAUGGUGCCAUCAUUGUUUACUUGACUCUUGACUAUACCUUUCAAAAC
This is a long non-coding RNA of Arabidopsis thaliana (thale cress), 237 nucleotides long. RefSeq annotates it as other RNA. The record is from RefSeq. NCBI's taxonomy places the organism in Eukaryota, Viridiplantae, Streptophyta, Magnoliopsida, Brassicales, Brassicaceae. The transcript has a single exon.